UACGUAGGGCGCAAGCGUUGUCCGGAUUCACUGGGUGUAAAGGGUGCGUAGGCGGGCGAGUAAGUCCGCGGUGCACUCUCCCAGCUCAACUGUGAAACUGCCGUUGCUACUGCUUUUCUUGAGUUCGGGAGAGGUUGAUGGAAUUCCAGGUGUAGCGGUGAAAUGCGUAGAUAUCUGGAAGAACACCAGUGGCGAAGGCGGUCAACUGGCCCGUAACUGACGCUGAGGCACGAAAGCGUGGGUAGCGAACAGG
Molecule: ribosomal RNA, 253 nt
Filed under: uncultured bacterium
Lineage: Bacteria
Description: partial 16S ribosomal RNA
Rfam family: Bacterial small subunit ribosomal RNA
Source: RNAcentral